RNAcentral lists this long non-coding RNA (248 nucleotides) under Lathyrus oleraceus (garden pea). RNAcentral's name for it is "Pisum sativum (pea) long non-coding RNA (PSAT_LNC015394)". The record is from RNAcentral. Lineage: Eukaryota; Viridiplantae; Streptophyta; Magnoliopsida; Fabales; Fabaceae.
AAGGAACGUGAUCAAAAUGAUACUUGAGCGGAAAAUGGAAUGGCUGCCAAGUGGGGGUCCUGACAAGGUUUUGACAUAGUUUGGACACUUAGCCCCCUAAAAAAUUUAGGUCCUUAGAGGUUGAAUUGAUGUUUGAGCCUUGAAGAAAAGAUUUACAGGGACUCCUUAGGAACAAUAUUCUCAAAGAAACUUAUCAAUUGGUUUAAAAUUGAAGAAGUUAUAGGCUUUGGACCAAAAGUGAGUCAUAC